UACGAAGGGGGCUAGCGUUGUUCGGAAUCACUGGGCGUAAAGCGCACGCAGGCGGAUUGAUAAGUCGGGGGUGAAAUCCCGGGGCUCAACCUCGGAAUUGCCUUCGAUACUGUCUGUCUUGAGUCCGGGAGAGGUGAGUGGAAUUCCUAGUGUAGAGGUGGAAUUCGUAGAUAUUAGGAAGAACACCAGUGGCGAAGGCGGCUCACUGGUCCGGUACUGACGCUGAGGUGCGAAAGCGUGGGGAGCAAACAGG
This 253-nucleotide ribosomal RNA is filed under the name uncultured bacterium. Its description in RNAcentral is "partial 16S ribosomal RNA". It matches the Rfam family "Bacterial small subunit ribosomal RNA", at positions 524 to 776 of the family's 1533-position model. The record is from RNAcentral.